UACGAAGGGGGCUAGCGUUGCUCGGAAUUACUGGGCGUAAAGGGAGCGUAGGCGGAUAGUUAAGUCAGAGGUGAAAGCCCAGGGCUCAACCUUGGAAUUGCCUUUGAUACUGGCUAUCUUGAGUAUGGGAGAGGUGUGUGGAACUCCGAGUGUAGAGGUGAAAUUCGUAGAUAUUCGGAAGAACACCAGUGGCGAAGGCGACACACUGGCCCAUUACUGACGCUGAGGCACGAAGGUCAGGGGAGCAAACGGG
Molecule: ribosomal RNA, 253 nt
Filed under: uncultured bacterium
Lineage: Bacteria
Description: partial 16S ribosomal RNA
Rfam family: Bacterial small subunit ribosomal RNA
Source: RNAcentral